AACGAACGCUGGCGGCAGGCUUAACACAUGCAAGUCGAACGCGUGCAGCAAUGCACGAGUGGCGCACGGGUGAGUAACGCGUGGAUAUCUGCCUUUUGGUUCGGAAUAACCCCGGGAAACUGGGACUAAUACCGGAUGGUUCCUACGGGAUAAAGAUUUAUCGCCAAAAGAUGAGUCCGCGUCCGAUUAGCUAGUUGGUGAGGUAAUGGCUCACCAAGGCGACGAUCGGUAGCUGGUCUGAGAGGACGAUCAGCCACACUGGGACUGAGACACGGCCCAGACUCCUACGGGAGGCAGCAGUGGGGAAUAUUGGACAAUGGGGGCAACCCUGAUCCAGCCAUGCCGCGUGAGUGAUGAAGGCCUUCGGGUUGUAAAGCUCUUUUGGCGGGGACGAUGAUGACGGUACCCGCAGAAUAAGCCCCGGCUAACUUCGUG
Molecule: ribosomal RNA, 435 nt
Filed under: uncultured bacterium
Lineage: Bacteria
Description: partial 16S ribosomal RNA
Rfam family: Bacterial small subunit ribosomal RNA
Source: RNAcentral